Molecule: ribosomal RNA, 465 nt
Filed under: uncultured bacterium
Lineage: Bacteria
Description: partial 16S ribosomal RNA
Rfam family: Bacterial small subunit ribosomal RNA
Source: RNAcentral
CCUACGGGAGGCAGCAGUGGGGAAUAUUGCGCAAUGGGCGAAAGCCUGACGCAGCGACGCCGCGUGAGGGAUGAAGGUCUUCGGAUCGUAAACCUCUGUCAGCAGGGAAGAACGGUCACUGUGCUAAUCAGCAGUGAAUUGACGGUACCUGCAAAGGAAGCACCGGCUAACUCCGUGCCAGCAGCCGCGGUGAUACGGAGGGUGCGAGCGUUAAUCGGAAUUACUGGGCGUAAAGCGCUCGUAGGCGGUAUGUCAAGUCAAGGGUGAAAUCCCCGCGCACAACGUGGGAACUGCCUUUGAAACUGGCAAACUGGAGUGUGUGAGAGGAUAGUGGAAUUCCAGGUGUAGGAGUGAAAGCCGUAGAUAUCUGGAGGAACAUCAGUGGCGAAGGCGACUAUCUGGCACAUAACUGACGCUGAGGAGCGAAAGCGUGGGUAGCAAACAGGAUUAGAUACCCCAGUAGUC